AACGAACGCUGGCGGCAGGCUUAACACAUGCAAGUCGAACGCCCCGCAAGGGGAGUGGCAGACGGGUGAGUAACGCGUGGGAAUCUACCCAAUACUACGGAAUAAUUCCGGGAAACUGGAACUAAUACCGUAUGUGCCCUACGGGGGAAGGAUUUAUCGGUAUUGGAUGAGCCCGCGUUGGAUCAGCUAGUUGGUGGGCUAACAGCCUACCAAGACGACGAUCCAUAGCUGGUCUGAGAGGAUGAUCAGCCACACUGGGACUGAGACACGGCCCAGUCUCCUACGGGAGGCAGCAGUGGGGAAUAUUGGACAAUGGGCGAAAGCCUGAUCCAGCCAUGCCGCGUGAGUGAUGAAGGCCUUAGGGUUGUAAAGCUCUUUUAGUGGGGACGAUAAUGACGGUACCCACAGAAAAAGCCCCGGCUAACUUCGUGCCAGCAGCCGCGGUAA
RNAcentral lists this ribosomal RNA (447 nucleotides) under uncultured bacterium. Its description in RNAcentral is "partial 16S ribosomal RNA". It matches the Rfam family "Bacterial small subunit ribosomal RNA", at positions 29 to 523 of the family's 1533-position model. The record is from RNAcentral.